GAGUUUGAUCAUGGCUCAGGACGAACGCUGGCGGCGUGCUUAACACAUGCAAGUCGAACGAACCUUCGGGUUAGUGGCGAACGGGUGAGUAACACGUGGGCAACCUGCCUCGAGCUCUGGGAUAACACCGGGAAACCGGUGCUAAUACCGGAUAUGAACAGAGAAGGCAUCUUUUCUGUUGGAAAGUUUUUCGGCUCGAGAUGGGCCCGCGGCCUAUCAGCUUGUUGGUGGGGUAACGGCCUACCAAGGCGACGACGGGUAACCGGCCUGAGAGGGCGACCGGUCACACUGGGACUGAGACACGGCCCAGACUCCUACGGGAGGCAGCAGUGGGGAAUAUUGCGCAAUGGGCGAAAGCCUGACGCAGCGA
This 370-nucleotide ribosomal RNA is filed under the name uncultured bacterium. Its description in RNAcentral is "bacterial SSU rRNA". It matches the Rfam family "Bacterial small subunit ribosomal RNA", at positions 9 to 394 of the family's 1533-position model. The record is from RNAcentral.